RNAcentral lists this long non-coding RNA (345 nucleotides) under Homo sapiens (human). Its description in RNAcentral is "HSALNT0280988". Lineage: Eukaryota; Metazoa; Chordata; Mammalia; Primates; Hominidae. The record is from RNAcentral.
UUUUUGGUAUGUGGGACAAGCACAGUACGAAGCUGGCACCACAGGCUACUGUUUCCUUUGCUAUGCAUUUACUAAGCAUGUUGGAAGUCAUGCAUCCAAGAUAAAUGUGAUCAUCUCCACUCUCAAAGGAUAUAUAGAACAAGAAGAUAUAUGUAAAGAUAUAUGUAGGACAAACUCUUAAACCAGCAUGGGACCUGGAACAUGUGCCCCACAGAUCUGAGGACUGAUGGAGCUAACUGAUGACUGGUGUCUGGGAAGGCAGCAUGUUUGCCACCCUGUUCUCACUUCUGAAGGAGCUGAAAGAUUUAGUUUCCAAAGCCUCUGGCCAGAUCACACUCCCCCUCC